GACGAACGCUGGCGGUGUGCUUCACACAUGCAAGUCGAACGAGGUAGCAAUACCUAGUGGCGGACGGGUGAGUAACGCGUGGGAAUCUGCCUUUAGAUGGGGGAUAACGGGUCGAAAGACUCGCUAAUACCGCAUAUGACGAAAGUUGAAAGGAGUAAUCCGUCUAAAGAUGAGCCCGCGUCCGAUUAAGCUAGUUGGUAGAGUAAAAGCCUACCAAGGCGACGAUCGGUAGCUGGUCUGAGAGGAUGAUCAGCCACAAUGGGACUAGAGACACGGCCCAUACUCCUACGGAGGCAGCAGUGGGAAUUUUACGCAAUGGCGAAAGCCUGACGUAGCGACACCGCGUGAGCGAAGAAGCCCCUUGGGGUGUAAAAGCUCUGCAGCUGGAACGAAAAAAAUGACGGUACCAGCAGA
RNAcentral lists this ribosomal RNA (414 nucleotides) under uncultured bacterium. Its description in RNAcentral is "bacterial SSU rRNA". It matches the Rfam family "Bacterial small subunit ribosomal RNA", at positions 28 to 485 of the family's 1533-position model. The record is from RNAcentral.